This is a long non-coding RNA of Cyprinus carpio (common carp), 1643 nucleotides long. Lineage: Eukaryota; Metazoa; Chordata; Actinopteri; Cypriniformes; Cyprinidae. The record is from Ensembl.
UGUUGAUAUGGUCUUAUACAGUAUAUUGCCUUGCUAAUAACUUCAGUGAUUGAUCUUGGAGGUUAAGAGCAUUGUCUAAAGCCUUGAAUAUACUCGGGAGAAAACGCGGACAAGGACCGCUGCGAACAUGGACUACUUCUGUUCAUACUCCCUUCUGCAGUCAGCAUGGCGGACACGUUCCACAGAAGCACAGUAGAUCAGUUGGUGCCCUGGUAGCGCUAGUUGCCGUGUGGACCUGGCGCGGUCACAAAAAAGGAGAGCCACGUGGACCCUACGCGUAUCCCCUCUGAUGAAGAUUUUUUUGUCUUGCGUGUGCGGAAAAGUAUAAUCAUUGCAUAAGGGUGUACUCACACUAGGCCCGGAUGCCUUGUACUGUGCCUGAGCACGAUAGUCCCCACUGGCCUGUGCUCACACUGCUCCUAACAAUCCGAGCCGUAUGUUUACAUCAUACCAUAUAUUGAUUUGUUUGUGGCAGCCCGCUCAACCACUGAUAUAAUAAUACUAAUAAUAAUUAUUAUUAAAUUUAUAAUAACUGACUGUUUUUUUUUUCUCUCUAAUAUCAUUUUCAGAAUGGAAAGCAGAAAAAAAAGGAUCCAGAAAAGGCAGCUGAGACUUACAGAAGGGAUUUACUGCAACAAUCAGAAACAUACAGGAGUCUGAAAUAUGUAAUGGAUAUGCAUGAGAGCCCAGAGGAGAAAGAGCGUGCAGUUGUGGUUUUCUACAAGCAGAAUAACAUCAACUGGGCCAGUCCAUUUUGUGUGUUUUUGAAAGAUGACACCAACAAAAGUUUGCUCUUUGUUGGUGAGGAAGACCACCUGGUGCCUUCCACCUCUACUUUCCUGCUGGAAGGUGAUAUCUUUCAUGUUGCUGGACGGAUUAUUGGGCACUCCUUUUUAAAUGGGGGACCAAGGCUGACUGGAUUAAGCCAAGCCAUUUUGGACUUAAUUUCUGGAAAAGAAGACACAAACCAGCUUGCAACUCAAGACAGCCCAGACAUUGAUGUGAGGGAAGUUGUCACUCUGCUUACCGGCAAGGACCCCUUGAGCCCAGCUGAUAAACACAAUGUUGCCGAGAUGUGUGUGGCUUGGGAUCUGCCCACUGUUGUUAAUGACACCAACAGGAACUGGCUUGCAGAAAAGAUCCUUCACCAUUCUGUAAGUAACAUACUUUCUUAAGGUGCUUUCAGACCAAAAGUAAAGUGAGCUUUGGGGUUGGUGCGUUUACUGUUUUGCCUUUUGCCCCCCUUUUGCCUUCAAACUGCAUCAGUUUUUCUAGGUUCACUUGCACAAGGUUUUUGAAGGCUGACCUACUUUUGUCAACUACCCACUGUUCUUCUGUGGAUUUACGCUCUGUGGGGGCCAUACCAUCACUUCCAGGACCAGUGUUGGGGAAAGUUACUUUUAAAAGUAAUGCCUUACAAUAUUGCGUUACUCCCUAAAAAAGUAACUAAAUAUGCUACUUAGUUACUUUUUAUGGAAAGUAAUGUGUUACAUUACUUUUGCGUUACUUUCACGUUACUUUUUAAAUAUGAGCAGGGCUUGAUUGUUUUUAAUAUAAGAAGUUCUAUUUAUAGCAAAUGUAAAAGCCCUUUCACACCAAAAAGUGUAAUGAAUAAACCUCAGGCUGAAGGAAAAGUAAAUUCA